GACGAACGCUGGCGGCGUGCUUAACACAUGCAAGUCGAACGGAAAGGCCCUGCUUUUGUGGGGUGCUCGAGUGGCGAACGGGUGAGUAACACGUGAGUAACCUGCCCUUGACUUUGGGAUAACUUCAGGAAACUGGGGCUAAUACCGGAUAGGAGCUCCUGCUGCAUGGUGGGGGUUGGAAAGUUUCGGCGGUUGGGGAUGGACUCGCGGCUUAUCAGCUUGUUGGUGGGGUAGUGGCUUACCAAGGCUUUGACGGGUAGCCGGCCUGAGAGGGUGACCGGCCACAUUGGGACUGAGAUACGGCCCAGACUCCUACGGGAGGCAGCAGUGGGGAAUACUGCACAAUGGGCGGAAGCCUGAUGCAGCAACGCCGCGUGCGGGAUGACGGCCUUCGGGUUGUAAACCGCUUUCGCCUGUGAGGAAGCGUGAGUGACGGUAAUGGGUAAAGAAGCACCGGCUAACUACGUG
This 468-nucleotide ribosomal RNA is filed under the name uncultured bacterium. Its description in RNAcentral is "partial 16S ribosomal RNA". It matches the Rfam family "Bacterial small subunit ribosomal RNA", at positions 28 to 507 of the family's 1533-position model. The record is from RNAcentral.